CUCCUGACGGAAAGUGGUGAGGCACUCCAACACCUUGUCCUGCAUGGCAGCGGCAACCGGCCCACUGCUGGCCCCUGCAAGGCUGUCCAUGAGCUGCAGGAUCACAUCUCCCAUCUGCCUGCAGACUGCAAAGAGGAGAAUGGAGCGUCUCCCCGAAGGAGUGCCAUAAAGUCCUUGACCGGGGAGGCCGUGGUCACCUGGGUCACCUGGUGCUGUACUAGGUCACUGGCACUCAAGCUGUCAUCCACCUUGGCCCUCUUCUCACCACCAUCCUUCUUGUCCUCACUAUGUUCAUAACAAGUCCACAUGAGAUGAUGCUAUUUUAUCACCAUUUGAAACUAUGGUAAUAAUAUAUACCCACACCUUUCUCUC
Molecule: long non-coding RNA, 372 nt
Organism: Portunus trituberculatus (swimming crab)
Lineage: Eukaryota; Metazoa; Arthropoda; Malacostraca; Decapoda; Portunidae
Exons: 2
Source: RefSeq, a predicted model, not a curated record